CCAACACUUACGAUUUUAUUUUAAGACAGGGUGUCACUAAGUUGCCCUGGAUGGCUUUGAACUUGCAAUUCUCCUGCUUCAGCCUCCCAAGUAUAGCUUGGGAUGCAGGUGCAUGCCACAAAAAUGCUUUUUUUUUUUUUUGAUGAGAACUUUGCGUGUCUGGGGAGGGCUCACACUACUCCUCUUGGGUGGGGGUCCUGAGCUGAUGUGACUGGGCUUCAUCCCCACAGGAUUCUCCCAGCAACAAGCUUCUGUAUGCCAAGGAGAUCUCCACCUACAAGAAGAUGGUGGGAGGAUUACUACAAGGGGAUUCGGCAGAUGGUGCAGGCACACACAGACUCCCUGAACACCCUUGUGGCACUGCACCAGCUCUACCAGUACACGCAGAAGUACUAUGAUGAGGUAGGGGUCUGGUCCCCGGGGUAGGGCUCAGGGGACGUCCUCCCCAGGUCUGGUCUUCACACCAGCACCUGUCACUCCACCUGCCCAGAUCAUCAAUGCCUUGGAGAGGACCCUGCCGCUCAGAAAAUGCAGGUUGGCCUUCCGCCUGCAGCAAAUCGCGGGCUGCUCUCGAGAACAAAGUCACCGACCUCUGACCUCAGACCAUCAGUGCUACCUGG
RNAcentral lists this long non-coding RNA (620 nucleotides) under Sciurus vulgaris (Eurasian red squirrel). RNAcentral's name for it is "lncRNA (ENSSVLG00005009712.1)". Lineage: Eukaryota; Metazoa; Chordata; Mammalia; Rodentia; Sciuridae. The record is from RNAcentral.